GGCCUUCGGGUUGUAAACCUCUUUUAGUAGGGAAGAAGCGAAAGUGACGGUACCUGCAGAAAAAGCACCGGCUAACUACGUGCCAGCAGCCGCGGUAAUACGUAGGGUGCGAGCGUUGUCCGGAAUUAUUGGGCGUAAAGAGCUCGUAGGCGGUUUGUCACGUCUGCUGUGAAAACCCGAGGCUCAACCUGGGAACUGCAUAUGUGACUGUAUGACUGGAGUACGGCAGAGGGGGAUGGAAUUCCGCGUGUAGCAGUGAAAUGCGUAGAUAUGCGGAGGAACACCGAUGGCGAAGGCAAUCCCCUGGGCCAGUACUGACGCUCAUGCACGAAAGCGUGGGGAGCAAACAGGAUUAGAUACCCUGGUAGUCC
RNAcentral lists this ribosomal RNA (371 nucleotides) under uncultured bacterium. RNAcentral's name for it is "bacterial SSU rRNA". It matches the Rfam family "Bacterial small subunit ribosomal RNA", at positions 413 to 796 of the family's 1533-position model. The record is from RNAcentral.